UGGGGAAUAUUGCACAAUGGGCGCAAGCCUGAUGCAGCCAUGCCGCGUGUAAGAAGAAGGCCUUCGGGUUGUAAAGUACUUUCAGCGGGGAGGAAGGUGUUGAGGUUAAUAACCUCAGCAAUUGACGUUACCCGCAGAAGAAGCACCGGCUAACUCCGUGCCAGCAGCCGCGGUAAUACGGAGGGUGCAAGCGUUAAUCGGAAUUACUGGGCGUAAAGCGCACGCAGGCGGUCUGUCAAGUCGGAUGUGAAAUCCCCGGGCUCAACCUGGGAACUGCAUUCGAAACUGGCAGGCUAGAGUCUUGUAGAGGGGGGUAGAAUUCCAGGUGUAGCGGUGAAAUGCGUAGAGAUCUGGAGGAAUACCGGUGGCGAAGGCGGCCCCCUGGACAAAGACUGACGCUCAGGUGCGAAAGCGUGGGGAGCAAACA
This 427-nucleotide ribosomal RNA is filed under the name uncultured bacterium. RNAcentral describes it as "partial 16S ribosomal RNA". It matches the Rfam family "Bacterial small subunit ribosomal RNA", at positions 355 to 774 of the family's 1533-position model. The record is from RNAcentral.